Molecule: ribosomal RNA, 537 nt
Filed under: uncultured bacterium
Lineage: Bacteria
Description: bacterial SSU rRNA
Rfam family: Bacterial small subunit ribosomal RNA
Source: RNAcentral
ACGGGUGAGUAACGCGUGGGAACGUACCUUUUGGUUCGGAACAACACAGGGAAACUUGUGCUAAUACCGGAUAAGCCCUUACGGGGAAAGAUUUAUCGCCGAAAGAUCGGCCCGCGUCUGAUUAGCUAGUUGGUGGGGUAAAGGCCCACCAAGGCGACGAUCAGUAGCUGGUCUGAGAGGAUGAUCAGCCACAUUGGGACUGAGACACGGCCCAAACUCCUACGGGAGGCAGCAGUGGGGAAUAUUGGACAAUGGGCGCAAGCCUGAUCCAGCCAUGCCGCGUGAGUGAUGAAGGCCCUAGGGUUGUAAAGCUCUUUUGUGCGGGAAGAUAAUGACGGUACCGCAAGAAUAAGCCCCGGCUAACUUCGUGCCAGCAGCCGCGGUAAUACCAAGGGGGCUAGCGUUGCUCGGAAUCACUGGGCGUAAAGGGUGCGUAAGCGGGUCUUUAAGUCAGGGGUGAAAUCCUGGAGCUCAACUCCAGAACUGCCUUUGAUACUGAAGAUCUUGAGUUCGGGAGAGGUGAGUGGAACUGCGAGU